Molecule: ribosomal RNA, 426 nt
Filed under: uncultured prokaryote
Description: bacterial SSU rRNA
Rfam family: Bacterial small subunit ribosomal RNA
Source: RNAcentral
UCGAGAAUAAUUCGCAAUGGGCGAAAGCCUGACGCAGCAACGCCGCGUGAGCGAAGAAGGCCUUCGGGUUGUAAAGCUCUGUCAGGAGGGACGAAGCCACUCGGGUGAACAGCCCAGAGGGUGACGGUACCUCCAGAGGAAGCCCCGGCUAACUACGUGCCAGCAGCCGCGGUAAUACGUAGGGGGCGAGCGUUGUCCGGAAUCAUUGGGCGUAAAGCGCGUGUAGGCGGCUUGGCAAGUCUGGUGUGAAAGCUCGAGGCUCAACCUCGAGUCUGCACCGGAAACUGCCUUGCUAGAGUCCGGAAGAGGAGACUGGAAUUCCUGGUGUAGCGGUGAAAUGCGCAGAUAUCAGGAAGAACACCGGUGGCGAAGGCGGGUCUCUGGGACGGUACUGACGCUGAGACGCGAAAGCGUGGGGAGCAAACA